UGGGGAAUAUUGGACAAUGGGCGCAAGCCUGAUCCAGCAAUGCCGCGUGUGUGAAGAAGGCCUUCGGGUUGUAAAGCACUUUCAUUCAGGAGCGAAACGCUGUCGGCUAAUACCCGGCGGAACUGACGGUACCUGAGGAAUAAGCACCGGCUAACUUCGUGCCAGCAGCCGCGGUAAUACGAAGGGUGCAAGCGUUAAUCGGAAUUACUGGGCGUAAAUGCGUGCGUGUGCNUUCUUAAGUCUGCUGUGAAAUCCCCGGGCUCAACCUGGGAAUGGCAGUGGAUACUGGGAGGCUAGAGUGUGUCAGAGGGUGGUGGAAUUCCCGGUGUAGCGGUGAAAUGCGUAGAGAUC
RNAcentral lists this ribosomal RNA (351 nucleotides) under uncultured bacterium. RNAcentral's name for it is "partial 16S ribosomal RNA". It matches the Rfam family "Bacterial small subunit ribosomal RNA", at positions 355 to 698 of the family's 1533-position model. The record is from RNAcentral.